This 492-nucleotide ribosomal RNA is filed under the name uncultured bacterium. Its description in RNAcentral is "partial 16S ribosomal RNA". It matches the Rfam family "Bacterial small subunit ribosomal RNA", at positions 29 to 507 of the family's 1533-position model. The record is from RNAcentral.
AGUGAACGCUGGCGGUAGGCCUAACACAUGCAAGUCGAACGGCAGCACAGUAAGAGCUUGCUCUUACGGGUGGCGAGUGGCGGACGGAGGAGGAAUACAUCGGAAUCUACUUUUUCGUGGGGGAUAACGUAGGGAAACUUACGCCAAUACCGCAUACGACCUACGGGUGAAAGCAGGGGAUCUUCGGACCUUGCGCGAUUGAAUGAGCCGAUGUCGGAUUAGCUAGUUGGCGGGGUAAAGGCCCACCAAGGCGACGAUCCGUAGAUGGUCUGAGAGGAUGGUCAGCCACACUGGAACUGAGACACGGUCCAGACGCCUAAGGGAGGCAGCAGUGGGGAAUAUUGGACAAUGGGCGCAAGCCUGAUCCAGCCAUACCGCGUGGGUGAAGAAGGCCUUCGGGUUGUAAAGCCCUUUUGUUGGGAAAGAAAAGCAGCAGGUUAAUACCCCGCUGUUCCGACGGUACCCAAAGAAUAAGCACCGGCUAACUUCGUG